UAUUUACAUUAUGUUAAAUACGUGUUCGUAAAAGAGGAACUUCAUUUUGAAAAUGACUCGGAUCGCCUAUUCUUUAGUGAUCGGUUCACUAGUUUAGGGUAGACUUAUAUGAAUCAAACAAAAGGCUGCUCCUUUAUGACAUAAAAAAAAGGAAUGCCAAAAUGAACAAUGUUCUAGGCCAUGUUUCUCAAACUGUGCUUUCUGGGAUACUAUGCAAUAUUACAAACAAUUAGGCAUGCGUAAUUGGACUGCCGCAUAUUCGUUAAGAUGGUAAUUUUGUGAAACCCAGUCUUAUCCCAUAUCGUUUACGAGGCGAAAGGUGGAUUCUUGGAUGUGGGGUUUUUUUACAUCCGUGCACCUGUAUGUCAACGAUCCAUCGAUUAUUUGGAGGAUUCAUAGAUGCAAUGCUGAACAGUACUGCGACAAGGACCAGUAGUAGCGCCAGUAUAGUAUACUCAUACACGACAGCUGUUUUAACUUGUUAGCAGAUGAUUAUUGGAUUGAUUGAAAGAGACAAGAAAGACAUGAAUAAUUAAUUAGGAAUAAUGAUUCACGGGUGAUUGUAUAUGAGAAAUAGGAAUGGAUUGGCAUCGGAUCAUCUUUGCGUUCCUAAUCACUCUUCUGAUACAUUACAGUAAUCACAUGGUCAGAUGUGACAUAACAGAUGUACAACUUGUUGGAGGUCCAUCAUCUAAUAAAGGUACAGUAGAGAUCAGGCAAGAUGGCGGCGAUUGGGAGACGACAUGUGGAAUGAAUCUUGACAUUAAUGACGUCAUCGUCAUUUGCAGACAAUUAGGAUUCCCGGGAGCUAGUCUAGCAAUGCAGAUCACACCCUUUAUACAGAAUUCUAUACCUGACAUUGGAUUAGAUUGUAACGGAGGUAAUUACAUACCAUUUAAUAAA
Lytechinus variegatus (green sea urchin) is the source of this 903-nucleotide long non-coding RNA. RefSeq lists it as uncharacterized. The record is from RefSeq and is a predicted model, not a curated record. The transcript is spliced from 3 exons. NCBI's taxonomy places the organism in Eukaryota, Metazoa, Echinodermata, Echinoidea, Temnopleuroida, Toxopneustidae.